UGGGGAAUAUUGCACAAUGGAGGGAACUCUGAUGCAGCAACGCCGCGUGCGGGAUGACGGCCUUCGGGUUGUAAACCGCUUUCAGCCAUGACGAAGCUUUUGUGACGGUAGUGGUAGAAGAAGCACCGGCUAACUACGUGCCAGCAGCCGCGGUGAUACGUAGGGUGCGAGCGUUGUCCGGAAUUAUUGGGCGUAAAGAGCUUGUAGGCGGUUUGUCGAGUCGAUAGUGUAAACACGCAGCUUAACUGUGUGCCUGCUGUCGAUACGGGCUGACUAGAGGAGGGUAGUGGAGAAUGGAAUUCCCAGUGGAGCGGUGGAAUGCGCAGAUAUCGGGAGGAACACCGGUGGCGAAGGCGGUUCUCUGGACCUUUCCUGACGCUGAGAAGCGAAAGCGUGGGUAGCAAACAGG
This 409-nucleotide ribosomal RNA is filed under the name Fusobacteriota bacterium. RNAcentral's name for it is "Fusobacteria bacterium partial 16S ribosomal RNA". It matches the Rfam family "Bacterial small subunit ribosomal RNA", at positions 355 to 776 of the family's 1533-position model. Lineage: Bacteria; Fusobacteriati; Fusobacteriota. The record is from RNAcentral.